AGAUACACACUCCAAAAUGCUGAGUACAGCAUUCAUGUUUACCCAGUGGUGACCCAGUGUCAGGAUGUUGCUAAGAAACCUCAUGCGAAGACCUCCCCAACUGUUCCACCAGAACAGAUUAUUCCUGUCAGGAGAAUGACUAAUCUAUACAGCACAUUUUAUAUGCAUAAAAUGAGGGAAAGCCAGAGCCAAUUUUUAUUUCCUAUGAACAUACGGGGGAGAGGAACUGCCUCAGAAAACACAUGGAAGAAAAACACAUUAAGUAAAACAAAGCAUCAUUGAGAUGUAUAUUAAUUCACAUUCAGAAUAUCUAAUCUUACAGGAAGAAUUAGACCAAGUGUCAUAUUGGAAUUACAUAUUUUUGACCCUUCCCUCUCCCCCCAUUAUCAUUUAGCCUUUUGGUAUCAUGGCAUUGGUGACUGGACAGCAGCUUGUUCUAAUUUCCAGAGUGUGUGGAAUGGCCUUGAUAGUUUCUUUGUGACGGGGUGAUGUCAUUGGUUAGCCAGCUUCCGCUGCACCCCAUACACUACCAAGAAGUUCCUCUCUGUAUUAGUUAUACCUUCACCUGCCAAGAAAAGAAAACACAUAGCUUCCUUUCGUCUUCAGUGAAACAAAGUGGUUUAGACACAGUUUGGAGGAGGACUGCCAGAAACAACAAAAAAGGCUUUAACUUAAUAACGUUUCCA
This is a long non-coding RNA of Trachemys scripta elegans, 686 nucleotides long. RefSeq lists it as uncharacterized. The record is from RefSeq and is a predicted model, not a curated record. The transcript has 3 exons. Lineage: Eukaryota; Metazoa; Chordata; Testudines; Emydidae.